RNA transcript from Ficedula albicollis (Collared flycatcher), 7844 nucleotides. It is a transcript of the gene named leucine-rich repeat containing 8 family member A, with no coding region annotated. The transcript is spliced from 5 exons. Lineage: Eukaryota; Metazoa; Chordata; Aves; Passeriformes; Muscicapidae. The record is from RefSeq and is a predicted model, not a curated record.
CGGGGCCGCUGCGGGCAGGGCGGACAAAAGGCGCCGGAACGGCGUGAGGGAGGGUGGGCGCCGCGGGCAGGGAAGCUGUUCCCAUGGCUUGUGGGGAGUGCAGCGCUUCAGCACUUGCUCAGGAUCCAGCACGUAGGAAUAUCAGCCACUUCCAGCACAGAGAACUGACGUGCAGAUAGCAGAACCCUGCUGCAAGGUGAAUCAUGAUUCCAGUCACCGAGCUGCGCUACUUCGCUGACACUCAGCCAGCCUACCGCAUCCUGAAGCCGUGGUGGGAUGUCUUCACCGACUACAUCUCCAUAGUGAUGCUGAUGAUCGCCGUGUUCGGAGGGACCCUCCAGGUCACCCAGGACAAAAUGAUUUGUUUGCCGUGUAAAUGGGUUACCAAAGACUCUUGCAAUGACUCUGUCAGGGGAUGGACAGCAGUAGCCCCAGAGCGUACCUACUACAACACUAGUCUUGUUCCCUCUGCUGAUUCGGGGCCUACAGGGAUCCGAUAUGAUCUGGACCGGCACCAGUACAACUAUGUGGAUGCUGUGUGUUAUGAGAAUCGUCUCCACUGGUUUGCCAAGUAUUUUCCUUACCUAGUGCUGCUACAUACCCUCAUCUUUCUGGCUUGUAGCAACUUCUGGUUCAAGUUCCCAAGGACCAGCUCCAAGCUGGAGCAUUUUGUGUCUAUUUUGCUUAAGUGUUUUGACUCUCCAUGGACAACAAGAGCAUUGUCUGAGACAGUGGUGGAAGAGAGUGAUACCAAACCAGCAUUUGGGAAAAUGAAUGGCUCCAUGGACAAGAAAUCCUCCACUGUCAGUGAGGAUGUGGAAGCCACUGUUCCCAUGCUGCAGAGAACAAAGUCUCGAAUUGAGCAAGGGAUUGUGGACAGGUCUGAGACUGGUGUCUUAGACAAAAAGGAAGGUGAGCAAGCCAAAGCACUCUUUGAGAAAGUGAAAAAGUUCCGUACUCAUGUGGAAGAGGGAGACAUAGUUUAUCGCCUGUACAUGAGACAGACCAUAAUCAAAGUAAUCAAGUUCAUUCUGAUAAUUUGCUAUACUGUGUACUAUGUCAACAACAUAACAUUUGAUGUAGACUGUAAAGUGGACAUUGAGAGCUUGACUGGCUACAGGAUGUACCGCUGUGCUCAUCCUUUGGCCACUCUCUUCAAAAUCUUGGCGUCCUUCUACAUCAGUCUGGUGAUUUUCUAUGGUUUGAUCUGCAUGUACACACUGUGGUGGAUGUUGAGGCGGUCACUCAAGAAAUACUCCUUUGAGUCCAUCCGGGAGGAGAGCAGUUACAGUGACAUUCCUGAUGUGAAAAAUGACUUUGCUUUCAUGCUCCAUCUGAUCGAUCAGUACGAUCCCCUCUACUCCAAGCGCUUUGCUGUUUUUCUGUCAGAGGUGAGUGAGAACAAAUUGCGGCAGCUGAACCUCAACAAUGAGUGGACCUUGGAGAAACUACGCCAGAGAAUCACCAAAAACUCUCAGGAUAAGCUGGAAUUGCAUCUUUUCAUGUUGAGUGGCAUUCCUGACACAGUCUUUGACCUCAUUGAGUUGGAGGUCUUGAAGCUGGAGCUUAUCCCUGAUGUCACUAUUCCCCCCAGCAUUGCUCAGCUCACCAGCCUUAAGGAACUGUGGCUCUACCACACAGCUGCCAAAAUUGAGGCCCCAGCCCUUGCCUUCUUGAGGGAGAAUUUGAAAUCUCUCCACAUCAAGUUCACAGACAUUAAGGAGAUUCCUCUUUGGAUUUAUAGCCUGAAGACACUAGAGGAGCUUCACUUGACAGGGAAUUUGAGUGCUGAAAACAACCGGUACAUUGUGAUAGAUGGAUUGAGGGAGCUGAAGAGGCUGAAGGUGUUGAGGAUGAAGAGUAACCUCACCAAGCUGCCGCAAGUGGUGACAGAUGUUGGUGUGCAUCUUCAGAAGCUUUCCAUCAACAAUGAGGGCACCAAGCUCAUUGUCCUCAACAGCCUUAAGAAGAUGGUCAACCUGACAGAGCUUGAGCUGAUCCGGUGUGACUUGGAACGCAUUCCUCACUCCAUCUUUAGCCUCCACAAUCUGCAGGAAAUAGAUCUAAAGGACAACAACCUAAAGACCAUUGAGGAAAUCAUCAGCUUCCAGCACUUACAUCGUCUCACUUGCCUUAAAUUGUGGUACAACCACAUUGCCUACAUCCCCAUGCAGAUAGGCAACCUGACCAACUUAGAACGCCUUUAUCUGAACCGUAACAAGAUAGAAAAGAUCCCUACCCAGCUCUUCUAUUGCCGAAAACUUCGGUACUUGGAUCUCAGCCACAACAACUUAACUUUCAUACCACCAGAUGUUGGACUUCUUCAAAACCUGCAGAAUCUGGCUGUGACAGCCAACAGGAUUGAGAGUCUCCCACCAGAGCUGUUCCAGUGCAGGAAGCUGAGAACCUUGAACCUGGGGAACAACGUGCUGCAGUCACUGCCCUCCCGAGUGGGAGAGCUAACGAACCUGUCGCAGAUUGAGCUGCGAGGGAACCGCCUGGAGUGCUUGCCUGUGGAGCUGGGAGAGUGCCCGCUGCUGAAACGCAGUGGGCUCGUGGUGGAGGAGGACCUGUUCAACACCCUGCCCUUGGAAGUCAAAGAGCGCCUGUGGAGGGCAGACAAAGAGCAAGCUUGAACCCCCCAGAAAAGGGAAAAGCCUCUGAUCAACUAGAAGGAAGCAAAAGGCCAUUUCAGUCCCCUUUCACCCAGAUGCUCCCCUUUUUCCACUCCAAUCACUAUCAAACUGGCCAAGGAGUCCUUGACAAACAUGACUCUGAAUGAGUCAGCUUCUUGCCUCAGAUGCAGGAUGGGGGAGGCUUGGGAUCAGGAUGAAAAUCGAGACUGAUUAAUUGGCCUCUGAGCAGGCCCCAGGGGGAAUUAGAGGUGUUGCUGUUCUUCUGGACAGGAAAUGGGGUGAGGUGGUUGGUGCUGGUGAGAUGAAAUGAUCUUUGAAUGGAGGAGAAAAUGAAUGUGGGGAUCGCUGCAUUGCUCCUAAUAGGGCUUAUAUGUGUCAGGGACUGAGGGAGUCCAGUGUCCUGCAAGCAAAGAUCAAGAGACAAGGAAACCUCUUGAACCUCCAUCUCUGUAACAGCUGGUACUGCUCCCCUCUGACUCAGAUUCAGUCAGUGAGGCCCCAGAUUGGGGUGGGAUAGGACACAGACAGCUGAUUUUAUCUAGAUGCUGGCAUUAGGAUUUUUGGAGAUAAAUAUCUCUCAGCUGCUUGAAGGCAGAUUUUUUUUUUUUUUAACAACGAAUUUUCUUUCCCCUUUGCACACUCCUCACCUUCUCCUUUGCCCCUGGAGAAGGAACCAACCUAUCUGCUCCUUUAAGAUUGCACUACUGUAACGGUUUCAAGUCACUUGUGUAGGUGAGUAGAUCAGAGCAUCCUUCUCCAGCUGAUGUCCUGGAGGCACUAACUGACACAAUUCCAGAGCUUUAGCCUGUUCAGAAAUGGAUGGAUAUAGUGCAAGUGGGAGAUCUGGAAAAAAAGCAGUUGGGACUGUCUAAUCUACUCUCUCAGAAGCAUUGAGUUGCUUCUGGCUUUUAGUUCUAAGUUACUUUUUAACUGCUGGUAUUUUGUUGCAUAUCAAGUAGAAAUGUACAACUGGCCAGUGUGUCAGGGGCUCUCAUGGGGUUGGAGAGGAAAUGUGGGUUUCCUCUGCACCUCUAGUCCCCCAUUCUGCCUUCCCCCACAAUUAAGUUGUUAAAUUCAGUUGUUCAAUGCUCUGCCAGUGUUUUUCAUGGAUGCAAUCUAGAGAACUGCUUGAUUGUUCUCACUUUAACUGCUGUCAGUUCCUGUUACACCUCUUGACAUAAAUAAGAGGCUAAUGCUGAUUGAACCUGGUGCUGGAAAAAAAACCUUGUCCCCCUAUUUCUUCCUUCCCUUUUCAUUCCCUCAGUGAUAAGGAGGAGAAUGAGAAUCCUCAGUGGACUGAGCUCUUCUGGCUUCCUGGAACAGAGCAGCCUUUACUGAAACAAGUUUGACCUGUUUGGUGGUAUUUGACAAAAAACCCCACAACCUUCUGGGCUGGCAGAAGUAGAUAAUGUGUAACAGUUACUGAUUUUCAUGUCCUUAAGGUGGGGUGGUUAGGAUGCCUCCAGGACACAAAGGCCUUCAUUUUUCCAUCAGAAGGAAGAGGAUGUGCCUGGACCCACAGGUCCUGGUUGUAACACUCUGCAUCAGACCAACAGGUCAGCACCAAGGUGCAGUGCUGCAAGCUGGGCCACGAGAAGUUUGGAGGCCUUCCAUGUGUACAAAGGGGGAAGCUCCAUCCAGCUCCAGAGGCAUUCCUGACAAGCUGCCAGCAAAUGCCCUGGCUCAUCACCUGGCUUGUGGUGAUCCCGUUGAUGUUGGGGCAAUAAGGCACAGUGUGGCUCUCUUCAUCAGAUGUAAGAUAUGAAACAUAUAUAUAUACUAAAUAUGCUGAAACCAUGAACAAUGUUGACUGGACUCUGGAUUUAUUGAUGUUCGGAUGCUUAAAUAAAGCUACAUUAAAAUCAGGAGAUCUGUUUAUAAAACUGCUUUUAAGAAAAAUGUAAAUCUUGCUUCCCUUAGUCCAUUCAUUGUGCAACGUCUAAACAGUCCUGGGGAUAAUAUAAUUAAAUCUCCAUCUGGGAGGCAAGGUACUGUAAAAGCUUUUCUGGCUUCUAAUAGGGUUAGUGUCUUGAAAUUGUGUUAGAGCUGGGGCCACAGCUGAAAGGAUGGGGAAGGACUGAUGCUGAUUGGAUUGUAUUUGUAUUUGCAUUUGCCUGAGCCUUUUGGAUCACAGAAAGGACAGUAAUUGCUAGGUGGGCUUUGCUUCUUGAGUAAAGCAGGAAUGGCUUCAGGUUUAGCUACAGCAAUGCUGUUUUCCAGUCAGUUCCCUGUGGUGGGUGUGGAGGCUGUUUGGAUGGUGAAGGAAAUUUUUUUCCUUAGUCUAUGCUAAAAGAUAGCGCUGUAGAGUAUGGCCUCUGAAUGGAGACAUGGACUCUGUUUGCUAUUCAAGGCCACUGGGUGACUUUUAUUACACAUGUAUUUUAGACCAGGCAGGGCUGAAAGGGCAAAGCACCCCCUAGGAGUUUCACCUGGUUCAUAGGAGUGAGAUUUCUCCAGGAAAUCUGUAGAUCUCCAAUCUCUAGAUUGGAGAUGAGUGCUUUGACACUUGUUUCCAGGUGUGGUCUUAGUUAUACAACCUAAACUUUGCACAGCUGGGUUAGUUUCUCUGAGCAGCUCCUGGAAGUGUGCUACAAUGCUUCUAGAAGCUUGCAAGCUCCUGAGCAGCUCUGUAUCCCAGUAGGAUAGGUGAACAACAGGCUCUUCUGCCAGAAGGGAGGUACUGCCUCCGACUCCUGACCAAGUCACAGUGCUGUGCUCCUGCUGCUUGCUGAGUAGAGACUGGCCUGGGCCUGAGGUAUGCAAAGCAAUUGUAAGGCUGGUAUUGAUCAUGCAUGAAAAGGCCAGCUUUGUGCUGCUUCUGCAAUAGUCCGAGCUUAACUCUUGGUUAUGACUGCUGGGGCUUGAGAGCUUCCUAUGUGGCAAAGUGGGGAUGAGCAGUCUGAUAACAUUUUGUACUGGAAACACAAAUACAUUGUCACUCUGAAGGAGAGCAAUAUGUAUUAUUUAUUUCUGAUACGUGCUGCUUGGUCUUGCUUUUGAUUCCGGAGUGUCAGUCUUGUAUGACAAGAUGUAAAAAGCUUUAGAACUUCCAAGUAUAGGAUCUCUAGACCACGAGUCCUGAACAUGUUUGAGGACUGCUGCAAAACUCAACCCACAGCAGAGCGAGUCACUUCCCAAACUUUUCUGGAUUGCUCAUUCUGUGGGGGAUGUGCUUACAUCAACAGUCCAUCCUCAUUGCAAGUAUUCAAUCCAUGAAUAUUCUGUAUUUUCCUUCAAGUUUCCAUCAGACUGAAGCCUAGGGGGUUUAUUUCUGACACAGAUCUAUCUAUGCAUUCACAAAAAGGAUUCAGUUUAAGCAGACAGUCACUGCCCUGGUCAGUGUCUUGUUCUCCUGACAAGCUUUUCCAAACAGUAGCAAACCAGAUUAUUUAUUAGCUGCUAAACCAUACAGCAACUUGAAUUAAACCCACCUGUUUCCUUAAUAGCACUUCUGACUGAACAAGUUCUUGGAGAUCACAAGGAUGCUCAUCCCUUGUUAGGAUUGAAGGUUAGUGACAUGCACUUUACCUUUCCUGCUAAAUACCCCAAAAAGUGAUAAGUUGCAAUUAUUUUGAACCAGCUGAAAGGCAAGGAAUACCAAUUAAAUGUGUAAAAUUGUGCUGUACUCUGACACUAUGCACUGAAAUGUUAGCUGAAGUUGUUCUGUGUUUAAGAUUAUUUUCUGGUUUUAUUUUUUGAUCCCCAGUUAAUUCAGCAGCUGGAAGUAAUUUACUCUGUCAGUCUGAGUGGUUAAAUAGCUGUUACAGGUAUCUUUCAUGAUGUGCUGUUCUUUCAUAUUAAUUGUCAUUUCUUUUUAAUAUCCUACCUCAUUUUUUAUUUUUUCUUACUGCCAUUUUUACACUCCAUUUAGCUCACUCCAUUUUAAUUAAAGUACUUGGUGUUCAUUACCAUAAAUAGUAUUAAGUGGCUUUCUGUUGCUGAACCACAUGAAAUCCUCUUCUUUUUUUUUCCCUCUUUAACAAUUGAUUCUAGGAAUUCUGAGAACAAUAACGCAUACUUUACAGAGGAUGAGUUGUCUGGAAAAAAGUUUCAAAUUGUAUUGAUUCCUAGGCUGUGACAUUGUUUCCUUUCCUUACCUCUUUUCCUGCUUUAGAAUAGAACUCACACGGUUUAAGUUCUUUGGAUUUUUAAAGUUUUUUUUUCAGUCCUCCUUCAGGGGAGGGGUAACUUUUUUUUUUCCCCCCUCAUCAAUAGUUGUGCCUUCUCUAGAGAUCUGUUAAUGUAACAUCUCCCCAGAGGCACUUGUUCCCUGGAGUGUAUUUGUAGCGGUGCCUGCCUGAAGCCAACUCAUCCCUUGGAUUCUUUUUCUUUCAACCAUGGAGAGAUUUCCUAACUUCUGGGGUGACUUCUCACUGCCGGACAAUAUUGUCAUACUGUAAGCAGAGUAACCUGCUCUGAAAUUCACAUAAGGUAAGGCUGUGAGGAUGCUGACAAGUAAAAUUAUUGCUUAUACUUAACUUUUAAAAUUUUUCCUCCAUUUUAACCCUACUGUUUGGCUCAGUGGAUAAUGUAAUUUUCCCAAGCACGUGCCAAAACUGAGUGAGUUUUCUGUCCUACCUCAUUCUAACAGUGUACAAAGCACAACUGGAAUGGAGCAGGAUUAUUAAAGUUUGAUUCAGACCCUUCUCCCUCCAGCAGUGGCAGUGGGUUAAUAUUAAACUGCUUUGGGAGUAUGAAAUCCUCCAGAAAUCCAAAAUCCAGUUUCUAAAGUAGCAGCGCUUGAAUUGCUCUACCCCAGUGGCAAAGGUCAACUUCAUGUGAGUUCACACAAAGGCUUAAUUUAGGAUUCCCGGAAUUUUCCAUCCCUUCCUCCCUCUGUCUCCUUUAAAGGAAUUUUACCAGACAAUGGAAGAGUUUUUCUGGAGGAGACAUAAUGAGAAAAGGGGGCUACUGAGCCUGAGUCAUCUUUACAGCUGACAAAUGUGUCCAUUUCAAAACGUCACUACUCAUGGCUUAAACAUUGUUCACUCCCAUUGUGUAAAUGCACGACAGGGCUGUGGUUUGGCAUCUGGGACCUGCAACUUGGUGUAACAUUUCAGAGUCGUGACAUUCACUUUGUACAUGGGAUUGUUUGGGCAGCUGAGCAACAGCACCUUCCCCAUGAGCACUGAAGGCUGCUCUUGUUUGCUCUGAAAGACUUGUACAACUGGGCACUUCACCAGAAUAAAAGUUUUAAUUUGCAUUUUC